Molecule: ribosomal RNA, 93 nt
Filed under: Amphilophus citrinellus (Midas cichlid)
Lineage: Eukaryota; Metazoa; Chordata; Actinopteri; Cichliformes; Cichlidae
Source: RNAcentral
GCCCAAUCUUGUCUGAUCUCAGACGCUAAGCAGAGUUGGGCCUGAUUAGUUCUUGAAUGGGAGGCCGCCUGGGAAUACCAGGUGUUGUAGGCA